GCACCCAUAGCUCAAUUGGAAGAGCGUUUGCCUUCUAAGUAAUAGGUUGUAGGUUCGAAUCCUAUUGGGUCUA
This 73-nucleotide transfer RNA is filed under the name Halisarca harmelini. RNAcentral describes it as "tRNA-Arg". It matches the Rfam family "tRNA". Rfam says of the family: Transfer RNA (tRNA) molecules are approximately 80 nucleotides in length. Their secondary structure includes four short double-helical elements and three loops (D, anti-codon, and T loops). Further hydrogen bonds mediate the characteristic L-shaped molecular structure. tRNAs have two regions of fundamental functional importance: the anti-codon, which is responsible for specific mRNA codon recognition, and the 3' end, to which the tRNAs corresponding amino acid is attached (by aminoacyl-tRNA synthetases). tRNAs cope with the degeneracy of the genetic code in two manners: having more than one tRNA (with a specific anti-codon) for a particular amino acid; and 'wobble' base-pairing, i.e. permitting non-standard base-pairing at the 3rd anti-codon position. The record is from RNAcentral. Lineage: Eukaryota; Metazoa; Porifera; Demospongiae; Chondrillida; Halisarcidae.